CCAGGAUUCCCCUAGUAACGGCGAGUGAAGAGGGAAUAGCCCAGCACCGAAGCCUGCGGCAGAUUUGCUGUUAGGCAAUGUGGUGUUUGGGUCGGUUCGUGGGAUUGCCACUCCAUUCGAAGUCCAGCAUUGAGUAUGGUCUCCUGGAUUUGGCCCAUAGAGGGUGAAAGGCCCGUACGAAUGGAGGUGUCAGACAAGUAAGGCAAUUCACCAGACCGGCCUUCGAGUCGGGUUGUUUGGGAAUGCAGCCCAAAGUGGGUGGUAAACUCCAUCCAAGGCUAAAUACAAGCACGAAUCCGAUAGCAAACAAGUACCGUGAGGGAAAGUUGAAAAGUACUUUGAAAAGAGAGUAAACAGCACGUGAAACCGCAUAGAGGUAAACGGGUGGCGUCAAGUUGCAAGCCCAGAGGAUUCAGUCGGAUAGGAUGUUGUGUAUGCGCCUGGCGCAUCUAUCAGUCGGAAUAGGAUGUAGUAGUCCNCUGGAAGACGGUGGGCCCGGUCUCUGAUCGGGAUGUGCGCACCGGAUGGAAGCCGGAGGCAUGCUACUCAUCUGUUGGACUGUCUAUCCGGUGCACUUCCUCUGUUGGUGAACACCACGACCGGUGGAAUUGCCAGUCUGCUAUACCCAAGUCGUAUUUGAUCGAUUCUUGUAGUCGGUUGGAUGCGAUCACAGGCAAACUCGAUGAACGGCGUAAAGGUGUUUCGGCAUUUUUGCGUGUUAUCGUGCAUCGGUUGUCAACGGGCCGAUUUAUGGUUGUUGCAUCUGCCAUUGAUUGGUCUGGUGGGGUAUGGUGGUACUAAUAACUGUGCAAGGCACCGGAGUUUUCGGUCUCAAAUGCAGCCUGCAUCCAUGAUGCAAAUGGUCAUUGGUAGAGGGGCAACGUUGCAGCCUGCCUAUUUCUUCCUUGAGUCUGAUUGUCGUGUCGCCUGCACAAAGUAGGCCCGGCAGUGGCUUGAGGUGGGAUGGAGUUGUUGACGUUGUCUCGUGUGUAGGCUGUAGUGGACCAGAUAGUCAGUGGUGCAGUGAUAGACGAGCUACCCGACCCGUCUUGAAACACGGACCAAGGAGUUUAACAUGUAUGCGAGUCAAUGGGUCCUACGAAACCCAAAGGCGUAGUGAAAGUGAAGCUUCGACUUGUUCUCGAAGUGUGGUGAGAUUCUGCCGUUUCUCGCAUUCUAUCCUGUAGUUGUGUCAGCACCAGGUAAAGAGCGGCAGACGCAUCACCGGCCCGUCCCAUGAUGUGGUCAUUGGAUUUUCUGCUGUAGUAGCCUAGCUGUUGCAGUGGUGCCAGUGCGUCAU
RNAcentral lists this ribosomal RNA (1300 nucleotides) under Aberrapex sp. n. 1 AW-2016. Its description in RNAcentral is "partial 28S ribosomal RNA". It matches the Rfam family "Eukaryotic large subunit ribosomal RNA", at positions 69 to 807 of the family's 3401-position model. The record is from RNAcentral. Lineage: Eukaryota; Metazoa; Platyhelminthes; Cestoda; Lecanicephalidea; Aberrapecidae.